AUUGAACGCUGGCGGCAUGCCUUACACAUGCAAGUCGAACGGUAACGGGCCUUCGGGUGCCGACGAGUGGCGAACGGGUGAGUAAUACAUCGGAACGUGCCCGAUCGUGGGGGAUAACGAGGCGAAAGCUUUGCUAAUACCGCAUACGAUCUACGGAUGAACGCAGGGGACCGCAAGGCCUUGCGCGGACGGAGCGGCCGAUGGCAGAUUAGGUAGUUGGUGGGAUAAAAGCCUACCAAGCCGACGAUCUGUAGCUGGUCUGAGAGGAUGAUCAGCCACACUGGGACUGAGACACGGCCCAGACUCCUACGGGAGGCAGCAGUGGGGAAUGGUGGACAAUGGGCGCAAGCCUGAUCCAGCCAGGCCGCGUGCAGGAUGAAGGCCUUCGGGUUGUAAACUGCUUUUGUACGGAACGAAAAGCCUUCGUUUAAUACAGGAGGGUCAUGACGGUACCGUAAGAAUAAGCACCGGCUAACUACGUG
RNAcentral lists this ribosomal RNA (482 nucleotides) under uncultured bacterium. Its description in RNAcentral is "partial 16S ribosomal RNA". It matches the Rfam family "Bacterial small subunit ribosomal RNA", at positions 30 to 507 of the family's 1533-position model. The record is from RNAcentral.